This 2390-nucleotide long non-coding RNA is filed under the name Heterocephalus glaber (naked mole-rat). RNAcentral's name for it is "lncRNA (ENSHGLG00000036549.1)". Lineage: Eukaryota; Metazoa; Chordata; Mammalia; Rodentia; Bathyergidae. The record is from RNAcentral.
UCUGGCACAGGUGUCUCCAUUGCUGAUUUCUGUUGAACUGUAUUCCACCCAAUUGCUGAGCAGCCCAGAUGUGAAGCACGCAGGCCUGUGGACAAGGGCUGCCAUCUCCUUCUGGAGGUCAUCCUUCGAGCAGUCCUGUGGCUCUCCCUUGUCUCGGAACAGCUCUUUUCUUGUUUUGUUUUGUUUGGGUUUUUUUUCAAGUCCUAGUUAUAUAAAGAAGAAGAAAAGGACAGGAAGGAAAUCUGUGUGACUUUGGGCCCUUGCCCACCGAAUUCCGUCUGUAAAAUGGGGAAUUAAGCUACAUAACCUCCAAGAAGACUUGUUUUGUAUUGUGGAUACAUUAGACAAUAUUUGAACACGUAUUACAGUAGAAUUGCCCAAGGAAGUCCCAUGGGUCUAUCAAUCCACUUCAACAGUGAUUACUGUCUCAUGGCCGAUCCUGUUUUGUUCACAUCCCCACAGCUUGAUGAUCACAUUUUCUUUAUUAUUAUAGUUCUUAGAGUCCUGCAUAAUAUAUUGCCCACAAAAUAAGAUAGCUUGCACCAGAGAAAAGUCAGGCAGGGAACUGGUGCACAGAUGACUGGUCAUUACGACUGACUUUUCUCCUAGUGCACAUCUCGUCCUCAGGGAUGUCCCACGCUCAGGGCGUCCUGAGUAACUAGGGCACAGGGUCUCCAUGCUACUGCAGCCGCAGGCCCAAGGCAUCUCUUGGAGAGCACUCCCCAGCCUGCCAUCUCAGUCUGGAGGAUAGAAGGGCUCCUGUCUGCCUUCCCAAGCUCACGGGUGCUGCACCGGCAGGAGUAGGUAGGUGGCUCUUUGGCAGCAAUCAUCUGAGAGCCUCUUCAUCAGCGCCAGGACCUUGCAGCUGCCAGCUCACCCAGCUUCUUGCCUGAAGUUGACCCCAAACAGCAGGCAGCUCUGAGCUUCCUGUCUCCUCAGCUUUAUUCCAAGGUGACUCUGUGUCCUUCCUCCAGAGCACAAAGGAAGGAGAAGGCUCUCCCCUCUGCACUCUUCUGUCUUCUGCAACUUUGUGAGUGGAUCCAAGUCAAAGGAGCUUCUUUCAUCCCCUCAGAGGCCACCCAGGACUCCACAUCCCCAUGGCUGUGUUGCUAUCUUUCCAUCUGCUUUGAGGGACCAUUCCAGAACCCUGAAAUGCUUGUCCUCUUCUCCAGCUGAGCAUAGGCCUCAUGGGGUGUGCAAUCACCAGGCCGGGCUUUGCAGGCCCCAUGGUGUUCCAGGUCACUGGGAUGGGCCAGGUGGUUGCUAGCAGGGGUCUUGACCUGACUUCUGCCAUGAACCUUGGUGCCUGGCCUUCUGCUCGCCAGCUGAGUGAGCCCAGGAGAGAGAUGUGGAGAGUAGAAACUUGGUUAAGUUGCCCCAAGUCAGGGACAAGCCUUCUUUCCACGGAGCCUUCUUUCCAAAGGGCAAGCCCUCCGCUACUGUGUACUGUAAAUUCAGCUUCAGGAGGCCAGGCCCCCUUGCACUUGGGGGACAGGUAGCUGAGGAGAAAGAGACCCCUUCUCACCUUUUGUUUACGUUCAAUCUGGCUGAAUUUAGCUGCCCUUAACCUCUAGUUUGCUAAAGUCCUUAUUGCCUUAAUGACCACCUAAUAAGCAGUCAGAACUGUUGAGAAGCCCCUCUGUGUGUGGCAUUCAUCCGAGGGAGGCCCGCCCCGUCUCCCCAUUGCUGCUGUGCCUGAUAAGAGCCUAAGGCCUGGCUCCAAAGCCCAGGGUUCACCUCUCACUGACAGAACAGAGCAAUGUUCCCAGGCUGGGGACAAGCCCAGGACUGCUCAGGCAGGAGAGAUGCCCGGGCCCCUUGUGACCACUGCCAAGCCGAUGCCCUUCUUUGGUCUCCGUUGCUUCAGAUCUGGACUCUCCCUCUCCUCUCCCUCCACCUCUCGCCCAGAGACCCUCCACCCCUCAUGCUCAGUGAGGACCAUCUAGACUUUUUCGUUCUCUGGAACACGCUACUCCCCUUCAGCUGCAGCAUCUUUCUUCAGCCUGUCCACCAAGCUCUUUAAUUGAACGGCAGUUGCUGUCUUCCCUUGGACAAUAAUGAAUGUAUCUAUUGUAAGUGCAGACCAUGUAGAGAAGUGGCUGGGUUAAGAAAAAAAAGAGAGUUUUCUUUUGUAAAGCCUGUUUAUUUUUUUAAGCCAGUUUUGAGCAUUUUUAUUUUACCACCCUUCACAUGGUUUUGGGGAACCCAAACUGCAUCAAGAUCUCAUGCCAAAACAAGCCAACGGUUGUUUUCUUUACCUUUUUCCUCCACGCACCAUGAUUUCAAUGAUUGUUUUGGUGUCAUUUUAAAUGUUUUCUUGUGACAUGUACUAACGAUAAAAGUCAUCUUGACAAAAAAAAGAUUUAUACAUGAAUCAGAAAGUAUUUAUU